UAGAAAACUGAGCAAAAAGUUGAUUUUUCCCAAAGAAAAGUAGUUAGUGGAAAAGAUGAUAUUCUGACUCCUAGUCCUUUUCUCUUUCUGCAGGUCCACAUUAGGUGAAGAGAGAUGGUUCUAAUAAGCAAAGUAGAGGCAGAGAUGACCAGUGAGAGACCCACGCUAUGUUCAUUCUGAAGGGCAGCCUAGAAGCUCCCUCAGAUGAUCUUGGCAUUCAGCAACUGGGCUGGUCUUCUACAGGGAAUAGGAAAAAUGUGGCAGUUCUAAGCAGACCUGGUUUGCAGCCAUAUUGUCAAGGAGGCUGUUUGUCUUUGGCACCUUUCUUAUUUUCUCUUUUAGUGUUCUAUCCCCCUGCAACUAUCACUCUCCACCCUCCAAUACUGCCUUAACCCAAUUCUGUCAGGCCUAUUGCUCUCAUCUAACCAUCUUUGUUAGAAAGUAUAUGUUGAACCAAUACCCACUAAAGUGUUAGUCAAUAAGGAUUUAGUAUGUGGCUAAAGAAUAAUCCAGUGCUGUAUGAUUAUAUUGGGGGAACCUAGAAGACCCCCAAAACCUUGAAAUUUUAAAAAAAGUUUUCAUGAUGAAAUUUCAAGAAAUAGACUCUGGACAAAUACUUUUGGAGUGUUUUCCAAUACUCCCUAAUUCACAGAAUGUAAAGUUUGGCCUUCUUUCCAAACUUUUCAGAAAAAAAAGGAUUCAUUUAAAGGCCAUAUCUAGCCUUUAAAGUAGAAAACAAAGUCAGUCCUCAUACCAGUAGAUUGUUAAGGCCCCCUGAAGCACACUAUUCCCUAAACUGUGACUUUAAUACAAAUAGUGACCAAGUCAGAUCAGUUUGUUUUAUAUUUGGUAAAACUGAGGCCCAGAAAUAUAAAGUAAUUUGCCCAGUCACUCAACUAGUGACUAGCAGAUUUAGGGUUAUAAUCUUGAUCUAUUGACUUCCAGAUUGCCCCUCUUUUCACUAUAUGACAAGUUACAAAUACUCCUGGCUUUCUUAUUAGACCCAUCUGUGUGUGUGUGUGUGUGUCUUUCUAUCUCUCUGUCCUUGUCUUUCCUUGUCUUUAUCUGUCUGUCUGUCAGUCUCUCUGUCUCUGUCCUUGUUUCUCUUUUUGUUCACCUCUGUCUCUCUGUCAGUUUGUUAUCUCUUUGUCUUUGUCUCUUUUUCUCUACCCCUCUGUCUUUUUCUGUCUCUCUGUCCUUGUCUCUUUGUGUUUGCCUUUGUCUCUCUCUUUUUUCUGUCUGUCUGUCUCUGUCUAUCUCAAUACAUAAAUACAUAUAUAUACAUAUAUAUAUAUACAUAUAUAUAUAUAUGUUUCUCCACUAUUAGUUUAGUCUUGUGGCUAAUAUAAUGAGUUCUCAGUGAGGAAGUUUCUCUACUGAUGCUGAUUGGUACUUCCAUAUGUGUAUGUGUGUGUGUGUGUGUGUGUGUGUGUGUGUGUGUGUGUAUGUAGUUUUAGAAAAUCCUAGAAAAUGAAAAAAGCUAAUUAUUUGCCUAGGAUCUCAUGACCAGUAAAUUUCAAAGGCAAAACUUGGGCCCAGAUCACACAGCCUUUUAGACUCAGAUCUUCUUAUGAAGUAUUUGCUCCCUUCACUCCCUCUCCAUGCCCACCUAAAGCCAAGGACUUCAUAAGUAGCAGCCCUUUUUAUAGCCUAAAGCAUUCUACCCCAGCUCCUACCGGUGUUAAAUCCAUCUCUUUCCAAGCAGCCUUUCCUAUCUAUGGAACCCCUUCCUGGGGUUAAAUCCCUUCAUUAUUUCAUGAGAAUCUGUAGACAUUAUUGCUUUGCUCCCAGGUUAAGUCACUGUGCUAUUCUAUCUCCUAACUUGCCCCCAUGCAAAUAAUGACCCUCUUCUUUCAGCUUUCCCUUUUGUUUUGUUGCCCUCUAUUUAAAUAUAAUCUCCCAGAGAGUAAAGAUGUCUUAUUUUCUUGUAUUCAUAUCCCCAAUCCUUGGCACAGAGCCUGCCACAUAGUGAACACCUAAUAAAUGUUUUCUAAUUA
RNAcentral lists this long non-coding RNA (1997 nucleotides) under Monodelphis domestica (gray short-tailed opossum). Its description in RNAcentral is "lncRNA (ENSMODG00000030978.2)". Lineage: Eukaryota; Metazoa; Chordata; Mammalia; Didelphimorphia; Didelphidae. The record is from RNAcentral.